This 253-nucleotide ribosomal RNA is filed under the name uncultured bacterium. Its description in RNAcentral is "partial 16S ribosomal RNA". It matches the Rfam family "Bacterial small subunit ribosomal RNA", at positions 524 to 776 of the family's 1533-position model. The record is from RNAcentral.
UACGUAGGGUGCAAGCGUUAAUCGGAAUUACUGGGCGUAAAGCGUGCGCAGGCGGUUUUGUAAGUUUGUCGUGAAAGCCCCGGGCUCAACCUGGGAAUGGCGAUGAAGACUGCAAGGCUUGGAUCUGGCAGAGGGGGGUAGAAUUCCACGUGUAGCAGUGAAAUGCGUAGAGAUGUGGAGGAACACCGAUGGAGAAGGCAGCCCCCUGGGUCAAGAUUGACGCUCAUGCACGAAAGCGUGGGGAGCAAACAGG